UUUUUUUUUUUUUUUUUUAAGCAUGCUUCAGGGACUGGCUAGCAUAUGUCAGAACCUCAUUUGUUUUUAUAGCUAGAGAAUAUACAUCUUUUUAUAUGUUCUACAUUUUUCUCCAUCUACUAAUGGAACAUUGUGAGUUUUCCAACUAACUCAUUCAGUAUUCUGAGCAAUGCUUCCAUGAACAAUUUUACUUACAAGCAUCAGUUUGAGUCUCUUCAAGUUUUCAUGUACAUACCUGAAUAUGGAAUGACAGGAUUUUAUAGUCACUCACUGUUUAGAUUUCUGAAUAACUGCCAGACAAUUUCCACAGUGGCUUCACAAUUUUGCAUUCCCAUUAAGAGUGCACAAAGUUUUUCUACCCUGCUGGUACUUGUCUUCAAAAAGUUAUGGUAGUUGUAGUGGGCAGUGGCGUGACAGGGUCACUGUGGUUUGACUUGUAUUUCACGGGUGAAUCUUCUCAUCUCCUCACUGGCUGUUGGUAUACCUUCUUUAAAGGUUUGUUCAGACCCUUUGCCCACACUUUAAUUUCCUUUCUUUAUUUUCUCAGGGGAGGACAUUGAUGCAUGCAGGCCAGAGUCAGCUUUGAGGAGUUAGUUCUUUUUCCAUGAGUUCUGGGAAUCAAACUCUAGUUGCCAGGUUUGACCACGUGCUCCUUAACUUGCUAAGCUAUCUCCUCAGCCAUAAAUAACAUGUCCUUUUGAUGACUUGUAAUUCUUUAUAUAGUCUGGAUAUUAAACUCUCAUCAAAGAUGAUUUAAAAAUAUUUUCUUAUAUUCUUAGGUUGUCUUUUCAUAAUGUCCCUUGAUAUAAAAUCUGCUUUCAAUUUUAAGAAGAGUACUAUCUGCAUAUUUUAUUCAUGUUCAUCCAUGUCAUUGCAAAGAUGAUUUGUCAGGAGAGGCCAGAAGAGGGCAUCGGAUCUUCCCAGAACUGAAGUUACUGAACUUGUGAGCUGUCAUGUUGGUGUUAGAAACCAAGUCUGGCUCUCUGAAAGAGUAGCCAGUGCUCUUAACCACUGAACCGUUAUUCCAGCUCCUCUGACAUUUCGUUGAAUCUCUUAUUUUGUAAUCUGUGAGGGAAAGGAGUAAGCAAUUCUAAGGAUCAAAGAUGAAUACAUACGAAGGACUAAGAACUGUGACUUUUCCACCUGAGCGUCCCCAGUUAGCCAGCAACUCUGACAGUGUGGCAUCAGUCUGCCCCAGAGGGGCAUCAUCACACUGGGGAUCACAGGACCCCAUGUUUUGUUGCUUUAAGUGGAAGAUAGACUCCUGUGGUUUAGCUUACCCAAGGACUUCAGCCAAUCAUCCAAAUAAUUGAAAAUCCAGGGGUGGUCUGGAAGUCUGGAAUACUGAGUGAUUGAUGCGUUCUCAGUGCACUUAUUUGCCAAGUUCGUAUAUAGAACACACAAUUAUACAGUAUUAGUUAUUAAAAUCCAUCCUAGAGAAAUUUGCCUAGCUCCCUGGAGAGCUGGCAUGCUGAAGACACGCAUAGGCCACCUACAACAGGUGUCACUCUAAUGUACAAGUAUGUGGUAGAGAGAUGGGAGAGACAGAGACACAGAAACCGGAGACUUGGGGGUGAUAGGGAAUAGCCUGAUGUGAGUAGCCUAUACUGCCACCUAAGGCCAUGAUGAAGGCCAGCCUGUGCUGCCUCAGAGGGUCUCACAGUGUCUAUGGCCAUGCAGCAACAGGAGUCUGUGUCAAUGUCUGUGACCCAUGUUACCACCAAAGGCCAUGUGAGAGCACUGGGCUGCCACUGGGGCCGUGUAGAUGUUCAAGGGCUGCCCAGAGCUGGCCAUGCCCCUCAUCAGCUACAGCACUCUAGAGAGAGGUCCCCCACAUGUGGAACUGGGCAGCACAAGUAGAGCUGGCCCUGGUGGCAGAUCCAGCCGCACGGCUCUGGAGCUCCGGAGAGCUGGUACCAACCUCGUCUGCUGUGAGGUGGUCUGGGUGCCGGAGAGAUGCUCUCUUCCUCUCACCCUCAUCCCUUACGGCAGCAGAAGAGCAGCCCCUGCACCUCCCCUGUGCAUCACAGUAAAGCUGACUUGGGGUAGUGAAGUUGCAGGUGAGUGGGACCCAAGGAAUGGAAUGGGAGAGAAACCAAGGACAUGUGAAUGGGGUGGAGGUGGGGGUAAGCUGGCCCCAGCUGCAGCAGGUGGGUGAACUAGCUGAGGCAGUGCUAGAGAGCUAGCACUAUUAGUGUGGGUUUGAGAGAGCUGGUGUGCUCACUAGCUCAGAUACCACCCAGGCCCAGAUCCAGGGCUUUGAGUUGGCCCACCCGUAUAUCUAGCCCAUCUAUGAACUGCUGAAGUGGGUAAAGGGGCCAGUCCUACAGAUCCAAAGCUGCUGCAGAAUCUCCAUGAAACAGGACAACAACAUAUAUCCAAGAGGAGUCAGGAGUCAUAUAUCCUGGGUGAGGAUUCAGUAUUGUUAAUGUAGCAGAAGCCAGAGGUCCCAAGCCUGACCAUGAUUCAUUACAGUGGACAUUUGUAAGUAAAGAUGUUUGAGCAAAACACUGUGACACACUGCAUCUCCAGGGCAAGAUGGAGUGUUGGUUUGUUUGCUUUUUGUUUGUUUCUGUUUUGUGGGCAGGUUGCAGAGGUAGAGGGCAAAUACAAAGAGACAGGGAGAUGAGUGGGAUUGGGGUACAUGAUGUGAAAUAAACAAAUCAAUAAAAAGUUUUAAAAAGAGAAAAGG
Molecule: long non-coding RNA, 2692 nt
Filed under: Mus musculus (house mouse)
Lineage: Eukaryota; Metazoa; Chordata; Mammalia; Rodentia; Muridae
Description: long non-coding RNA chr17:71198632-71201324
Source: RNAcentral